UUAACUCCUUUGUCUUUUCAUUUGGAUAAACGUAUUUUGCAAAACAUAAAGAAAUGAUGUAACACUUUUCUAUUCUUAGUAAAGUAUUGAAACAAUUGAAAUAUGUCUGGAAUUCAGAUCAGAGAUUAUUAGGAAGGGAUGAGUGUGAUCUUUGUUUUUUUGUAUUCCUACCAUCAAAUUCUUACAUCUUUUGAGUUCCUGUUUGGAGAAGAGAGUGGGGAAACUAUUCUUGGUAAUCUAGUAGGGGAAUUGCAACCAUCACCUAACCUCUUAUAAAAAUAGUGGUAUUCAUUAUUCAUUACUUGAAGUGUAAUUUUAAAAAAUAAUCUGUUGUCUUUCAAAAUUUCUCCCUACAGCAUACAGGUAUUUUUAUAGAAGUUCAUUUUGCCAUCUGCACAUAUGUUGGGGGAAAAUUUUAUUUUUAAUUUUUAGUGCUAACAUUGUAUUUCAGAACAAACACAAAAGUCCGCAGAAGUGGUGUUGGUAUUUUCUCCUAAGUUGCUUUAAUUAUUAACUAACACUUACCCUGUGGCAUUCAUUAAUUAAUUUAUUCUACAGAUGUUUGAGUUGCCACUGUGUGGCAGGGCCUUGGGUUAAAACAGAAUAAAGCAUAGUCUCUGACCUAAAGACUACCUCAUUUGGGAAAAAUAAACCAUAAAUGAUAAAUUACAGCAUAUUUGGAUAAUACUAGUGCGAGCAGUGUGUCCAGAGUCAGCCUAGUAUUUUUGUAGAUGAAAGAACAUAUGUGAAGAGGUAGGGUAUUUAUUAAAAUCUCAUCACCAGAGACU
This is a long non-coding RNA of Sapajus apella (tufted capuchin), 788 nucleotides long. RefSeq lists it as uncharacterized. The transcript has 2 exons. NCBI's taxonomy places the organism in Eukaryota, Metazoa, Chordata, Mammalia, Primates, Cebidae. The record is from RefSeq and is a predicted model, not a curated record.